This is a long non-coding RNA of Pocillopora damicornis (cauliflower coral), 572 nucleotides long. The record is from RefSeq and is a predicted model, not a curated record. NCBI's taxonomy places the organism in Eukaryota, Metazoa, Cnidaria, Anthozoa, Scleractinia, Pocilloporidae.
UAAAAAGGAAGGCUGCCGAAGGAAACGUUUAGACACCAUUCGUCUAGCGAUCUACUGACGUUUCAAGCCAAAUAGAAGAAAAUAGUAGCAGCAACAUUAUUCCUUAGGUUUGAGUAUAAUCUAUUGACAAUGAAGAACGUUCUUCUUACAACGUUGGCCGUUUUUUUAAUCACUGUAACACUGGUCGGACAGGUUCAGUGUGUUCUCAGAGCUGGAAGAGACAACAUAAUGAUUCCUAGAAAAGGUGUUCGUGAAGAACUCGAAAUAAUGCAUAACCAAGCGAAGCCGGUUUACGCCAAAAAAUCAGGUUAUAGACGUGCAAGACCUUUGGGCAAUGAAAAUGAAGAAAUUAUGAAUUGACAAAGAUGGAAUGUGCAGCUCGUUGCUCUCGACUCUUAUAGGUAGAAAGCGACAAUUGGAACGAAAAAAUGCCAGCUAUUUUAAACAAACUCAGUUAUAUCCUUUGCGAGGCGUGUUUUAAAAGCAUUAAGCCUUUACUCAUUGUGAUGAUUGCUCUUUCUUUUGUAAAAUUCUGCCAUUAGAUCAUAUAUUCUAAUAAACUUGAAUCACUA